UUUAUACAUGAUUUCUGAUUUCUAUUCCCUGUUCCUAUUGCCUGUUGCCUGGCAUUGUGCAAGGGAUUUUAUCCUUUAACAAACCUACGAGUUUGUUAAGCUCGAGUUCGUCGCUGGCCGGUAUUCAUAAUCAGAACAUAUUUCAAGACCGUCUUAAGUAAUCUCUUAACUUAAAACGUUAAUACGGCUUUGUGAUUAGUUAAUGACAUCUUAAGAUUGUACUUAAGACGGGUCUUAAAUAUAAGAACCGACAAUGAAUACCGGCCGCUGCGGACACACAGCAUACCACACACUCAUUAACAUACAUUUCUGACUUUGUUUUCCAAAUUUUAUAUUUGAUUAGUGCGUCAUCCGAUAUUUAUACCCUUGAAGUAAACGUGUAUCUCGAGCCCAUUUAAGGCAUCAAGGUUAAUAAUAAGAGGAAGUUAAAAAUAAGGAGAAAUAGUAUAGCUGACCUUCCAAUGCAGUGUCAAUGUUAUAAGCGUAAGCUGCGCAGAAAAAUAGAAAAAGAGAGACAGAAAAGAAUUAGACAUAGUGAAGUAAAGAGAAUAUAGUGACACAAGUUCAGAAAUCAUUCGGAGAGGAGUCAAGUGAAUCAGAUGAAAACUUAAAUGAAAACUUAGAUGAGUCAUUAGAACCUGAGAUAUUUUGUGAACAAAAUCAGGAAACCGUGAUUGCUUUCAAUAGAUUUCCGUGCGACAGAAUUGAACAUGCAAGAGAAUCUCACGACUUUGAGUAUGAAAUAAAUAAUGAUAGGUUUGUUGCUGAUUUGUUUAUGUUGCAUGGCGCUCUUACUAUCCUUUCCAGUCCCAUGCUUGUUCAGUCAGAGAUCAUGUGUCAUUAUUCUAAUGAUUUGCUACGAGCAUUUAUUAAUCAUUCUAUUGUAAUUUAUGGUAAAACGUUUGUAGUGUAUAAUGUGCAUUCACUUUCUCAUUUAACUCAGGAAUAUUUGUCUCAUGGAGCAUUGGAUAAAUUUAGUGCCUUUCCUUUUGAGAAUUAUUUAAAAUCUCUCAAGAGUUUACUUAAAUCAGGUUACAAACCUUUAUAGCAAGCUGCGCGUCGUGAUCUAGAAAGAACUGUAUCAGUGUCAGUGCAUCUUCCAACUAAUGAUAAAGAAGUUACUUUGUCACGUUGGUCAGAGAAACUCUUGUUUUAUGACAAUUGACGGAAAUAUAUUUGUAUUGUUAAAUGUGAAAAGACGAGAAGAUAUAUACCUAAUUACAAACAAGUUUAACAAAAAAGAAGAUUUUUAUACAUAUCCUUUCCCUUCAUCUCUUGUUCGUAUUUUUAAAGUGUCAAAUUUGGGUGACCAAAGAAUUGUACUGCCAUUGACAAAUAUUCAAUCAAAAUUUUGUCGUUUUAAAAUUUUUACCUGACGAUCUCAACAAUGAUAAUAUUUGCUACGAUAUCGGCCUUACAAAGUGGUUGAUUGAAGUGAAUGAAGAUAUGGAAGGUGAGACAUAUUGGCCACCGCGUAAUGUUGAAGCUGGAAGCUUGGUCCGUAAAGAAGUAAAUGCAGACGAAACUUGGCCCAAAUAUCGUGUACAUGUUAAGAGAUAUCACGAUUUGAAUACUCAUUUAUCUAAGAUAGACAGGAAAUUGGAGGACUUAAGUUGCAAAAUAAAUACAGUUAUAACGAAUCAAGGAAAACUAUACAGAUGUUUGCUUCCUCAGGAAAAGAAAAUACUGGAACCACAUAACAUGCCUUCUUUGCCUUUUCGUAACGAAUUUUAGUGUGAUUAUCUUACCUCUUUUGGAUCUGCUAGUGAUGAAAGAAAAACUGCUACCAUAAUUAUGCAAAAACUUAUGUAUAAUUCUUUGGUCAAAAAUUAUAAUUUUGAUGGCCAUGGUGAGAAAAGAGGCUUAAAAACACUGCAACUGUGGACAGUUAUUGAAGGGUCUUUGUCACUUAAAUUUCCGGACAGCGACCUUGAUACAGCACUUAAAACCAUAAAGUCAUGGUUACGAAAUGCUAGCGGUAGGAAACAAGAGGAAUAUAUUGGCUCUGAUAACCAUUAGAAAAACAUUUCUCUCUUUUGUUGCGGAGAUCUCAGAGAGUCGGCGAGUCUCGAAGGCGAAACUUCUGCGCAAAGUGGUAGACGAAAUCCACCGUGAUCCGCAACACCUUAUGCUGACGACGGAUUAUAUUCUCAUUGUAUUCGCCGUUCCCUUCGAUCAUGCCUGUGACAGGAUUGCUAAACCACUCUUUAAAUUCGCGAUGAGACUGGAAAACGUUAGGCAUAAGAAAGUGCAUGAGCGACCACAGUUCCAUUAAAUUAUUCUUGAUAUUUUGCGCCUCGUCUAAGAUAAGAUAUUUUUAUUUUUUCCGUGUAAAGCUUUGGUAAUCCUGUAUUACUAACUUUAGCUAAUAAGUAGCUGCUAAUUGGCUGUUAUUAAUUUAUUAUCUUCCUACUUUAGCGUAAAUGUUAAACGGGUUGUUUCUUGUCGCUCUUCUCAAGUUGUGAGAAUAAGUAAGAAAAAAUUGUGUUGCUAGAUUUUUAUAGCUCCCUUUUUUUUAUAUGUAUAGAAUUGAGACACAGAGUUUGAUAAGUACAAUUGUCUAUGUAUGCAGGCGAACACAGGUGCAAGUUCCCGUAGUAAUAAUUUAUGUUCUGCGAAAAAUAUUUAUUUAUAAUGAUUGCGCAAAAAAUAGAUCAAGCAUCACGAUGUUUAAUUUGUUCAUUUUUUUAAAUACUAGUGUAUAUAUAAGAAAGUCUCCUAUUUUUUUUCUUUAGUAAAUAUGAUAUGUGCCGAAACUGAAACAGGAAUUGUCGCGUGAAAAAAUAUGUAUACAUCAUCGAUAUAACGUGUUGUAACAUGUAACGUAAGAAUAUUAAACAUUUGUAAGGCGUAA
Molecule: long non-coding RNA, 2854 nt
Organism: Temnothorax curvispinosus
Lineage: Eukaryota; Metazoa; Arthropoda; Insecta; Hymenoptera; Formicidae
Exons: 6
Source: RefSeq, a predicted model, not a curated record